UGCGUAGGCGGUUGGGUAAGUCAGAGGUGAAAUUCCGGGGCUCAACCUCGGAACUGCCUUUGAUACUGCCUGACUAGAGUACUGGAGAGGAGACUGGAAUUCACGGUGUAGCAGUGAAAUGCGUAGAUAUCGUGAGGAAGACCAGUGGCGAAGGCGAGUCUCCGGACAGUUACUGACGCUGAGGCACGAAGGCUAGGGGAGCAAACG
This 207-nucleotide ribosomal RNA is filed under the name uncultured bacterium. Its description in RNAcentral is "partial 16S ribosomal RNA". It matches the Rfam family "Bacterial small subunit ribosomal RNA", at positions 568 to 774 of the family's 1533-position model. The record is from RNAcentral.